This 147-nucleotide unclassified non-coding RNA is filed under the name Cakile maritima (European searocket). Its description in RNAcentral is "partial external transcribed spacer". The record is from RNAcentral. RNAcentral also lists the same sequence under 1 other name. Lineage: Eukaryota; Viridiplantae; Streptophyta; Magnoliopsida; Brassicales; Brassicaceae.
CCUCCCCCUAUUUUCCCAUCACUYGUUCCUCCCCAAAAAAGUACAAUACAAACUUAAAAAAAACCMAAAAAAUUUCAAGUCUAUAAGAAAACGAUGUCAGAGGUUUGAGAUUUUUACUUAGUGAGAUUCACUCACGCACCAGAUUUU